This 302-nucleotide ribosomal RNA is filed under the name uncultured bacterium. RNAcentral's name for it is "partial 16S ribosomal RNA". It matches the Rfam family "Bacterial small subunit ribosomal RNA", at positions 508 to 807 of the family's 1533-position model. The record is from RNAcentral.
GCAGCAGCCGCGGUAAUACGUAGGGUGCAAGCGUUAAUCGGAAUUACUGGGCGUAAAGCGUGCGCAGGCGGUUAUAUAAGACAGAUGUGAAAUCCCCGGGCUCAACCUGGGAACUGCAUUUGUGACUGUAUAGCUAGAGUACGGCAGAGGGGGAUGGAAUUCCGCGUGUAGCAGUGAAAUGCGUAGAUAUGCGGAGGAACACCGAUGGCGAAGGCAAUCCCCUGGGCCUGUACUGACGCUCAUGCACGAAAGCGUGGGGAGCAAACAGGAUUAGAUACCCCAGUAGUCCCUGUCUCUUAUAC